AGUGGAUGGGGAGCAACCUAGUUGUGAGUGUGGAAAGGUAGUGCCAAGAAAAGCUGUCAGAAUGAUGAGAAUUGAGUCCCGGUACCCGAAACCGACACAGGUAGGCAAGUAGAGAAUACCAAGGGGCGCGAGGUAACUCUCUCCAAGGAACUCGGCAAAAUGACCCCGUAACUUAGGGAGAAGGGGUGCCACCGAGAGGUGGUCGCAGUGAAGAGGCCCAGGCGACUGUUUAGCAAAAACAUAGGUCUCUGCAAACUCGAAAGAGGAAGUAUAGGGGCUGACGCCUGCCCAGUGCCGGAAGGUUAAAGAAGUUGGUCAGGAGAAAUCUGAAGCUGGCGACUGAAGCCCCGGUGAACGGCGGCCGUAACUAUAACGGUCCUAAGGUAGCGAAAUUCCUUGUCGGGUAAGUUCCGACCCGCACGAAAGGCGUAACGAUCUGGGCGCUGUCUCGGAGAGAGGCUCGGCGAAAUAGGAUUGUCUGUGAAGAUACGGACUACCUGCAUUUGGACAGAAAGACCCUAUGAAGCUUUACUGUAGCUUGAAAUUGUGUUCGGGCUUCCUGUGCGCAGGAUAGGUGGGAGGCGAGGAAGGUCUGCUUGUGGGCAGAUUGGAGCCAACCGUGAGAUACCACUCUCAGGAGGCUAGAAUUCUAACUUAAUUAAGGACAGUUUCAGGUGGGCAGUUUGACUGGGGCGGUCGCCUCCAAAAAGGUAACGGAGGCGUACAAAGGUUCCCUCACACUGGUUGGAAAUCAGUGGCAGAGUGCAAAGGCAGAAGGGAGCUUGACUGCGAGACGGACAAGUCGAGCAGGGUGGAAACACGGUCUUAGUGAUCCGACGGUGCUGUGUGGAAGGGCCGUCGCUCAACGGAUAAAAGUUACUCUAGGAUAACAGGCUGAUCUCCCCCAAGAGUUCACAUCGACGGGGAGGUUUGGCACCUCGAUGUCGGCUCAUCGCAACCUGGGGCGGAAGUACGUCCCAAGGGUUGGGCUGUUCGCCCAUUAAAGCGGUACGUGAGCUGGGUUCAGAACGUUGUGAGACAGUUCGGUCCAUAUCCGAUGUAGGCGUGAGAAUAUUGAGAGGAGCCUUCCUUAGUACGAGAGGACCGGGAAGGACGCACCGCUGGUGUACCUGUUAUGAUGCCAAUCGUAAACGCAGGGUAGCCAAGUGCGGAGAGGAUAACCGCUGAAAGCAUCUAAGUGGGAAGCCCACCUCAAGAUGAGUAUUCUGGUGUAAGGUCACGGGGAGACGACCCGUAGAUAGGCACGAGGUGGAAGUGCAGAGAUGUAUGAAGCCGAAGUGUACUAAUAGACCGUCGGCUUGACC
RNAcentral lists this ribosomal RNA (1325 nucleotides) under metagenome. RNAcentral's name for it is "bacterial LSU rRNA". It matches the Rfam family "Bacterial large subunit ribosomal RNA", at positions 1561 to 2925 of the family's 2925-position model. The record is from RNAcentral.